UAAUACGAAUGGAGCGAGCGUUGUUCGGAAUCACUGGGCGUAAAGGGUGCGCAGGCGGUCAUGAAAGUCAGAAGUGAAAUCCCAGGGCUUAACCCUGGAAUGGCUUUUGAAACUCCAUGACUAGAGUAUUGGAGAGGUUGGCGGAAUUCCGAGUGUAGAGGUGAAAUUCGCAGAUAUUCGGAGGAACACCAAUGGCGUAGGCAGCCAACUGGACAAUUACUGACGCUCAUGCACGAAAGCGUGGGGAUCAAACAGG
RNAcentral lists this ribosomal RNA (256 nucleotides) under uncultured bacterium. Its description in RNAcentral is "partial 16S ribosomal RNA". It matches the Rfam family "Bacterial small subunit ribosomal RNA", at positions 521 to 776 of the family's 1533-position model. The record is from RNAcentral.